This 541-nucleotide ribosomal RNA is filed under the name uncultured bacterium. Its description in RNAcentral is "partial 16S ribosomal RNA". It matches the Rfam family "Bacterial small subunit ribosomal RNA", at positions 354 to 888 of the family's 1533-position model. The record is from RNAcentral.
UGGGGGAAUUUUGGACAAUGGGCGAAAGACUGAUCCAGCAAUGCCGCGUGUGUGAAGAAGGCCUUCGGGUUGUAAAGCACUUUUGUCCGGAAAGAAAUCCUCUGGGUUAAUACCUCGGGGGGAUGACGGUACCGGAAGAAUAAGCACCGGCUAACUACGUGCCAGCAGCCGCGGUAAUACGUAGGGUGCAAGCGUUAAUCGGAAUUACUGGGCGUAAAGCGUGCGCAGGCGGUUUUGUAAGACGGAUGUGAAAUCCCCGGGCUUAACCUGGGAACUGCAUUCGUGACUGCAAGGCUAGAGUAUGGCAGAGGGGGGUAGAAUUCCACGUGUAGCAGUGAAAUGCGUAGAGAUGUGGAGGAAUACCGAUGGCGAAGGCAGCCCCCUGGGCCAAUACUGACGCUCAUGCACGAAAGCGUGGGGAGCAAACAGGAUUAGAUACCCUGGUAGUCCACGCCCUAAACGAUGUCAACUAGUUGUUGGGGAUUCAUUUCCUUAGUAACGUAGCUAACGCGUGAAGUUGACCGCCUGGGGAGUACGGUCG